UACGUAGGUGGCAAGCGUUGUCCGGAUUUACUGGGCGUAAAGAGCGCGCAGGCGGUCGUUCAAGUCGCGUGUGAAAGCCCCCGGCUCAACUGGGGAGGGUCACGCGAUACUGAUCGACUCGAAGGCAGGAGAGGGAAGUGGAAUUCCCGGUGUAGUGGUGAAAUGCGUAGAUAUCGGGAGGAACACCGAUUGCGAAGGCAGCUCGCUGGGACGUUACUGACGCUGAGACGCGAAAGCGUGGGGAGCAAACAGG
This 253-nucleotide ribosomal RNA is filed under the name uncultured bacterium. Its description in RNAcentral is "partial 16S ribosomal RNA". It matches the Rfam family "Bacterial small subunit ribosomal RNA", at positions 524 to 776 of the family's 1533-position model. The record is from RNAcentral.